UCCUACGGGGGGCAGCAGUGGGGGAUAUUGCACAAUGGGGGAAACCCUGAUGCAGCGACGCCGCGUGGGUGAAGAAGCGCCUCGGCGCGUAAAGCCCUGUCAGCAGGGAAGAAAAUGACGGUACCUGAAGAAGAAGCCCCGGCUAACUACGUGCCAGCAGCCGCGGUAAUACGUAGGGGGCGAGCGUUAUCCGGAUUCACUGGGUGUAAAGGGAGCGUAGACGGCCAAGCAAGCCAGGGGUGAAAGCCCGGGGCCCAACCCCGGGACUGCCCUUGGAACUGCAUGGCUGGAGGGCGGGAGGGGCG
Molecule: ribosomal RNA, 305 nt
Filed under: uncultured bacterium
Lineage: Bacteria
Description: bacterial SSU rRNA
Rfam family: Bacterial small subunit ribosomal RNA
Source: RNAcentral